ACCAGAGCUCCGCGCGGCGAAAUGGUGAGAUGCUGCCCACCGCGCCCUAACCCCACGGUUCCCCGCCACGACCUCCGGAAGGUCAGAGUUCACAUCCAGCGGCCUCGCAGUAGAGGUGGCGGCAAGGGGACUGGUGGUCAGCCCCCGAGGCUGGAGGAGCCCGGCCUGGGGGGCCUGAGCGCCCUGAGUCGGAGAGCCUGCUUCAGGUUGCACUUCCCCCAGCUGGCCCUGAGGCGGAGGCUGGGGCAGCUGAGCUGCAUGUCCAGACCCGCUCUGAAACUGCGCUCCUGGCCCUUGACCGUCCUCUACUACCUCCUGCCCUUCGGCGCCCUCAGACCGCUCAGCCGGGUGGGAUGGAGGCCCGUAAGCAGGGUGGCUUUGUACAAGUCAGUGCCAACGCGCUUGCUGUCACGGGCCUGGGGUCGCCUCAAUCAGGUGGAGCUGCCACACUGGCUGCGCAGGCCCGUCUACAGCCUCUACAUCUGGACGUUCGGGGUGAACAUGAAAGAGGCCGCUGUGGAGGACCUGCAUCACUACCGCAACCUCAGCGAGUUCUUCCGGCGCAAGCUGAAGCCGCAGGCCCGGCCUGUCUGCGGCCUGCACAGCGUGAUUAGCCCAUCGGAUGGAAGGAUCCUCAACUUUGGGCAGGUGAAGAACUGUGAGGUGGAGCAGGUAAAGGGGGUCACCUACUCCCUGGAGUCGUUCCUGGGCCCGCGUACCUGCACAGAGGACCUGCCCUUCCCACCAGCCACCUCAUGUGACUCCUUCAAGAACCAGCUGGUCACCCGGGAAGGGAAUGAGCUCUAUCACUGUGUCAUCUACCUGGCCCCUGGGGACUACCACUGCUUCCACUCCCCUACUGACUGGACUGUGUCCCACCGGCGCCACUUCCCAGGCUCCCUGAUGUCAGUGAACCCUGGCAUGGCUCGCUGGAUCAAAGAGCUCUUCUGCCAUAACGAGCGGGUGGUCCUGACGGGGGACUGGAAACACGGCUUCUUUUCACUGACAGCUGUGGGGGCCACCAACGUGGGCUCCAUUCGCAUCUACUUUGACCAG
RNAcentral lists this small RNA (1056 nucleotides) under Pongo abelii (Sumatran orangutan). RNAcentral's name for it is "processed transcript". Lineage: Eukaryota; Metazoa; Chordata; Mammalia; Primates; Hominidae. The record is from RNAcentral.